This is a long non-coding RNA of Ictalurus punctatus (channel catfish), 2238 nucleotides long. The record is from Ensembl. NCBI's taxonomy places the organism in Eukaryota, Metazoa, Chordata, Actinopteri, Siluriformes, Ictaluridae.
AACUCUAUUUGCUAUACACUUAAUAAAUGAUUAACAACCAUUCUAAAGAAGAAGCUUUGAAAUCUGCAGAAUGUAUUUGCAUUAUUGGCAAAAUCACUCUAAAUCAAGGUCCACUGCAGGGAGUCACCCUGGAAGGUCUAAAAUAUUUAUUCAAAGUCAGAACUGUUGGCUGGGAUUUGGCACGAGUCAUACAUCAUCACAAUUUGCAGUCUCUCCAGUUCUGUCUUCUUUCUCUGUCUGGUGGUGAUCUGCCAAAAAGCACAGCAGCUGCUGGCGUGACGUUGAGCUGUGACUCUGCGCUGCACUGGCCAAAUGACCAACAUGAUACUUUAGAAGGAACUGUAAAUACAGUUUGGAGAAGUCUGAUGUACAUGCCCUCUGGUCCUUUCCUGAUCUCUCUCAAAAUCACUUCGUAAAUCAACACACUGGGUAAAUCCUUUCAAUAGACCCAUCCCACUUGUGGUUGGCACUCUAUCCAGGGUGUCCCCUGCCUUGUGCCUCGAGUUCCCUGGGAUAGGCUCCAAGCUUCCUGCAACCCUGUGUAGGAUAAGGGGUAUGGAAAAUGGAUGGAUGGAUAUUUUUAAACUUUCAAAUGAUAUUUUAAUGUAAAACUAUUUACACAGACAUUGCAUAUUAACCCAUUUUGUUUACCAUUUCAGGGAGAACACUAACUCCAGGAUCUCAGCCUGUCUGUGAUGAUUUAUGAUUGUACAGGGGUGAAAUGUCUAUUCAAUCUUACUGCCCCUAGUGGGACAUAGUGUCUGUGUUUCUCUGACCAGCAAGUGAAAGUCUGGCUUACAGUAAUUCUCUCUCUCUCUCUCUCUCUCUCUCUCUCUCUCUCUCUCUGUCUCUCUGUGUGUGUGUGUGUGUGUGUGUGUGUGUGUGUGUGUGUGUGUGUGUGUGUGUGUGUUUAUUUGAGAGUCUGGCCAUAUGUUCUCUCUUCUCCAGGAGGCAAAUGGAUGUUAGAAUGGAGGUAAGGAUGGCCAUCCAUAAAGUCCUACAUACUGUAUGAGCUGAUCCAACCUGACCUUUUUAAUGAGCUCCAGAUGGCUGCAAAACCUCCAACAGAACCUGCAUCAGCUCUUACCUGGCCUGUAUGAUGUGUGUGUGUGUGUGUGUGUGUGUGUGUGUGUGUGUGUGUGUGUGUGUGUGUGUGUGUGUGUGUGUGUUUUCCUACAUGGGUGUAAACUGACUGAAUCCAGGCUGCAGGUGUAGUGUGUCAUGGCUAAGAUCUGUGUCCAGAGGGGGGAAAAAAACAAAGUUUCAAACAAAGUGCCCUUUGCCCUCACUCCACUCUGUGCCUCUCCCUGACUUGAUCAGUGAAACUUACCAUUAUAGCUGCACCUCCAACACUCUACUCUCUCUAAUCCAUUUCUCUAAACAUUUUAGCUCAUAUUCCUUCUGAUCUUAGCCCAUUUUCUGAGUCUUACUUAGCAGGAUUUCCUUGGUUAUGGGUAGCAUGAUCAGUAAUGUGAAAAGCAUGUGUGUAUGUAUGUGGAUAUAAUUUUAUACAUGAAGCUGCAGGUAUGUGUCAUCCACAUUUACUGCAGUGUAAAAGCAUGUCGAGAAACCCCGAGGAGAAUCUGCUGAUCAGUAGUGGUGAUGUAUUUUCUUCCUUUAAGGGAGUGAUAAAAACCCAGCUUCAUUGCAGAGAAACAUUGUUGGACAUUUUCUUUUUCCAGAAAACUAAAGCUACAUGGCUUUGAUUGACUAGCCUGAGAAGGAUUUCACAAUAUUUCUGUGUGAAGUAUACUCAAACAAAAAACCCACUGAAAACCUGAAAGGCGAACGCUUGUCAGUAUGAUGUUUUAGUGGUUUGACCCUUAAACUUUGUAGAUGGGAGUCUGAAUCCCCCACUGCUUAGUUUGCAGAGUUCGCUGUGGUCUGUCCCACUUUUAAGGUUAACCUUCAAGGUGUGAGGGAUUCCCAGCCACAUAUUUUUUUAAUUUAUCAGUACCACUCGCUCUGCUAAAGGGUGGUCUUUCACAUCGCCUUCGCUUGUGGGUUUGCGCGCCUACAUGUGGUGUGAUCAUUGUUUCGUUUCUUCACAGUCUUGCCCUCUAAUGCUGUCGUCCCUAUCACCAUCUUCCCCUCUUGAUCUUUCUCUACAAUAAAUGGUUUUCACAUUGUCUGGACUUUUUUUGGCUUUAAGACAGCAGAGGUCCUGAGUUGGUGGUUUUUAGGUGACAUUUUAUCUUCUGUUUGAUGGGAAUUCAGAUGUGUGAAGCCCCCCCCCCC